RNAcentral lists this small RNA (68 nucleotides) under Sinorhizobium meliloti 2011. RNAcentral describes it as "putative ncRNA". The record is from RNAcentral. Lineage: Bacteria; Pseudomonadati; Pseudomonadota; Alphaproteobacteria; Hyphomicrobiales; Rhizobiaceae.
GGACAUUUGCCGUCAACUAAAAACUCUUCUCCAUAUGGUUGAGGAAUGCAUUAGAGCGAUUCUAAACU